This 446-nucleotide ribosomal RNA is filed under the name uncultured bacterium. RNAcentral's name for it is "partial 16S ribosomal RNA". It matches the Rfam family "Bacterial small subunit ribosomal RNA", at positions 338 to 795 of the family's 1533-position model. The record is from RNAcentral.
CCUACGGGCGGCAGCAGUCGAGAAUCAUUCACAAUGGGGGAAACCCUGAUGGGGCGACGCCGCGUGGGGGAAUGAAGGUCUGCGGAUUGUAAACCCCCGUCAUGUGGGAGCAAAUUAAAAAGAUAGUACCACAAGAGGAAGAGACGGCUAACUCUGUGCCAGCAGCCGCGGUAAUACAGAGGUCUCAAGCGUUGUUCGGAAUCACUGGGCGUAAAGCGUGCGUAGGCUGUUUCGUAAGUCGUGUGUGAAAGGCCCGGGCUCAACCCGCGGACGGCACAUGAUACUGCGAGACUAGAGUAAUGGAGGGGGAACCGGAAUUCUCGGUGUAGCAGUGAAAUGCGUAGAUAUCGAGAGGAACACUCGUGGCGAAGGCGGGUUCCUGGACAUUAACUGACGCUGAGGCACGAAGGCCAGGGGAGCGAAAGGGAUUAGAUACCCCAGUAGUC